GUGAGGAAUAUUGGUCAAUGGGCGAGAGCCUGAACCAGCCAAGUCGCGUGAAGGAAGAAGGAUCUAUGGUUCGUAAACUUCUUUUGCAGGGGAAUAAAGUGCAGGACGUGUCCUGUUUUGUAUGUACCCUGAGAAUAAGGAUCGGCUAACUCCGUGCCAGCAGCCGCGGUAAUACGGAGGAUCCGAGCGUUAUCCGGAUUUAUUGGGUUUAAAAGGUGCGUAGGUGGUUUGAUAAGUCAGCGGUGAAAGUUUGCAGCUUAACUGUAAAAAUGCCGUUGAAACUGUCGGACUUGAGUGUAAAUGAGGUAGGCGGAAUGCGUGGUGUAGCGGUGAAAUGCAUAGAUAUCACGCAGAACUCCGAUUGCGAAGGCAGCUUACUAAGCUACAACUGACACUGAAGCACGAAAGCGUGGGGAUCAAACAGGAUUAGAAACCCGAGUAGUCC
This 445-nucleotide ribosomal RNA is filed under the name uncultured bacterium. Its description in RNAcentral is "partial 16S ribosomal RNA". It matches the Rfam family "Bacterial small subunit ribosomal RNA", at positions 354 to 796 of the family's 1533-position model. The record is from RNAcentral.